AGUCGAACGGUAACAGGUUAAGCUGACGAGUGGCGAACGGGUGAGUAAUAUAUCGGAACGUGCCCAGUCGUGGGGGAUAACUACUCGAAAGAGUGGCUAAUACCGCAUACGACCUGAGGGUGAAAGCGGGGGAUCGCAAGACCUCGCGCGAUUGGAGCGGCCGAUAUCAGAUUAGGUAGUUGGUGGGGUAAGGGCCCACCAAGCCAACGAUCUGUAGCUGGUCUGAGAGGACGACCAGCCACACUGGGACUGAGACUCGGCCCAGACUCCUACGGGAGGCAGCAGUGGGGAAUUUUGGACAAUGGGCGCAAGCCUGAUCCAGCCAUGCCGCGUGCGGGAAGAAGGCCUUCGGGUUGUAAACCGCUUUUGUCAGGGAAGAAACGGCUCUCUCUAAUACAGAGGGCUAAUGACGGUACCUGAAGAAUAAGCACCGGCUAACUACGUGCCAGCAGCCGCGGUAAUACGUAGGGUGCAAGCGUUAAUCGGAAUUACUGGGCGUAAAGCGUGCGCAGGCGGUUAUGCAAGACAGAGGUGAAAUCCCCGGGCUCAACCUGGGAACUGCCUUUGUGACUGCAUGGCUAGAGUACGGUAGAGGGGGAUGGAAUUCCGCGUGUAGCAGUGAAAUGCGUAGAUAUGCGGAGGAACACCGAUGGCGAAGGCAAUCCCCUGG
RNAcentral lists this ribosomal RNA (670 nucleotides) under uncultured Burkholderia sp. Its description in RNAcentral is "bacterial SSU rRNA". It matches the Rfam family "Bacterial small subunit ribosomal RNA", at positions 60 to 732 of the family's 1533-position model. The record is from RNAcentral. Lineage: Bacteria; Pseudomonadati; Pseudomonadota; Betaproteobacteria; Burkholderiales; Burkholderiaceae.